This 246-nucleotide ribosomal RNA is filed under the name uncultured bacterium. RNAcentral describes it as "partial 16S ribosomal RNA". It matches the Rfam family "Bacterial small subunit ribosomal RNA", at positions 791 to 1035 of the family's 1533-position model. The record is from RNAcentral.
UAGUCCACGCCGUAAACGAUGAGUACUAGGUGUCGGGGUUUCAAUACUUCGGUGCCGCAGUUAACACAUUAAGUACUCCGCCUGGGAAGUACGAUCGCAAGAUUAAAACUCAAAGGAAUUGACGGGGGCCCGCACAAGUAGCGGAGCAUGUGGUUUAAUUCGAAGCAACGCGAAGAACCUUACCUGGGCUUGACAUCCCAAGAAUCCUGUGGAAACACGGGAGUGCCCUUCGGGGAACUUGGUGAC